RNAcentral lists this ribosomal RNA (459 nucleotides) under uncultured bacterium. RNAcentral's name for it is "partial 16S ribosomal RNA". It matches the Rfam family "Bacterial small subunit ribosomal RNA", at positions 338 to 795 of the family's 1533-position model. The record is from RNAcentral.
CCUACGGGUGGCUGCAGUGAGGCAUAUUGGUCAAUGGUCGGGAGACUGAACCAGCCAAGCCGCGUGAGGGAUGAAGGUACAGAGUAUCGUAAACCUCUUUUGUCAGGGAACAAAGGCGGGGACGUGUCCCCGGCUGAGUGUACCUUAAGAACAAGCAUCGGCUAACUCCGUGCCAGCAGCCGCGGUAAUACGGAGGAUGCGAGCGUUAUCCGGUUUUAUUGGGUUUAAAGGGUGCGCAGUCGGUCUGUUAAGUCAGCGUUAAAAGCCCGUGGCUCAACCCCGGCCCGCCGUUGAAACUGGCAGUCUCGAGUUGGAGAGAAGUAGGCGGAAUGCGCGGUGUAGCGGUGAAAUGCAUAGAUAUCGCGCAGAACUCCGAUUGCGAAGGCAGCAUGCCGGCUCCAAACUGACGCUGAGGCACGAAAGCGUGGGUAUCGAACAGGAUUAGAUACCCGAGUAGUC